AGCGGCGGACGGGUGAGUAACACGUGGGUAACCUGCCUGUAAGACUGGGAUAACUCCGGGAAACCGGAGCUAAUACCGGAUAGUUCCUUGAACCGCAUGGUUCAAGGAUGAAAGACGGUUUCGGCUGUCACUUACAGAUGGACCCGCGGCGCAUUAGCUAGUUGGUGGGGUAAUGGCUCACCAAGGCGACGAUGCGUAGCCGACCUGAGAGGGUGAUCGGCCACACUGGGACUGAGACACGGCCCAGACUCCUACGGGAGGCAGCAGUAGGGAAUCUUCCGCAAUGGACGAAAGUCUGACGGAGCAACGCCGCGUGAGUGAUGAAGGUUUUCGGAUCGUAAAGCUCUGUUGUUAGGGAAGAACAAGUGCGAGAGUAACUGCUCGCACCUUGACGGUACCUAACCAGAAAGCCACGGCUAACUACGUGCCAGCAGCCGCGGUAAUACGUAGGUGGCAAGCGUUGUCCGGAAUUAUUGGGCGUAAAGGGCUCGCAGGCGGUUUCUUAAGUCUGAUGUGAAAGCCCCCGGCUCAACCGGGGAGGGUCAUUGGAAACUGGGAAACUUGAGUGCAGAA
Molecule: ribosomal RNA, 573 nt
Filed under: Bacillus sp. (in: firmicutes)
Lineage: Bacteria; Bacillati; Bacillota; Bacilli; Caryophanales; Bacillaceae
Description: bacterial SSU rRNA
Rfam family: Bacterial small subunit ribosomal RNA
Source: RNAcentral